Physeter macrocephalus (sperm whale) is the source of this 1024-nucleotide long non-coding RNA. RefSeq lists it as uncharacterized. Lineage: Eukaryota; Metazoa; Chordata; Mammalia; Artiodactyla; Physeteridae. The transcript is spliced from 3 exons. The record is from RefSeq and is a predicted model, not a curated record.
GUGGCAGCCAGACCAGACUGCUUAGCUGGCUGCGUUGGCAGGAGGUCCCCAGAAGCUCACUCCAGCUUUGGGGAGGAGGAGGUUGUAAGAGAACCUGAAGACUUAGCUGCAUGAGGACACCACCCACCCAGGCUUCCUUCCACUGAGCACGUGUUUCCUUGUGCCGGGCAUUUUCUGAACAUUUUACAUCCCUGUUUUCUCAUGCAAAGCUGGUCCGGUACAUCUGCAAGCAGCGGCAGUGCAAGCUGAGCGUGGCUCCCAGCGAGAGGACCCCGGAGCUCAACAGCUACCCUCGCUUCAGCGACUGGCUGUACACCUUUAACGUGAGGCCGGAGGUGGUACAGGUACGUGGGCCGGGCUGUGGGGAUUGGGGUCUGGGCGUGGGGCAUGGGGGGGUAGUCAAGCAGAGGGACCACGCACAAACCCAAGGACCAGCUCUACUGUGGCUAGUGUGCUAUACUCAGGAAAGGGGUGGGGGGGGGAUGGCAGCAACAGGAGGGACUCGGGGUACAUGUGGCUCUAGUAUGUGUCCUGGGUGCCAUCGCUUUAUGAGCCAGACAGCCUGACCACACCACUCAUAGGUUCGCCAUGAGGACAGCAGCCGACAUUUCUGGAAACGUCAGCUGUGCAACAGACACUAUGUUAAACACUCUGUGCAGAGACUCUCACUUCCUUCUCACAAAACCCUGUGAAGGAGUUACUAUCAUCAUUGCCGUUUUAUACUUGAGAAAAUUAAAGCACAGAAGGGUCAAAUAACUUGUUUAAAAUCAUACAGCUAGUAAAUGAUAGCUUGGGAAUUUGGAAGCAAGGGUCUGAGUUUAGUUUUCUCCUGUAACUGCAGUAAUAUAUUAUUUUCCUUCCUUUGUUCUCUCUUGCCAUCCAUCCAACCUACCCACCCACCUGCGCACUAACUAAUCAACCAGUUUGCAUGGAGAGUGGCAGGGGUCCAGGACAGCUCUCACGGGGCAUCAAUAAGUCAAUGCUUGGCAGGUGUGAUUCACCCAGCCAGGUCUUUUAAAUCCUU